Scophthalmus maximus (turbot) is the source of this 3757-nucleotide long non-coding RNA. RefSeq lists it as uncharacterized. Lineage: Eukaryota; Metazoa; Chordata; Actinopteri; Pleuronectiformes; Scophthalmidae. The transcript has 5 exons. The record is from RefSeq and is a predicted model, not a curated record.
CCCUCCCUCCCUCUCCCCCAGGUCACCUCUUGAGCUCCCUCGUCCUCCUUUCUGCACACACACACACACACACACACACACACACACACACACACUCACACACACUCACACACUCACACGGCCUCCACGUCCCCUCUUCUCUGGAGGAACACAGGCUUUUACCUAGAACGCGCUCACCGCUCGUCUCACAGCUCCCCCUCCUCUCUCCUCUCUCCCCCCCCCCCCACCCCACCCUCGCAGGGGCCCCAGCCCGUCCUCCCGUUUGUUUACUUCACUCCCUCCACAUAAUGCCGGGAUUAAUUUCCGAAAGCCGAUUUGAGCUGCGGCACGCGUUGCCAAAGAGCGCGAGAGCAGAACUUUUGUACUCGGGGAAGUUUCCCCUUCACACUGGCUUAGAGGUGGACCGCUCGCUCUCCCCCCUUUACGCCGCUCACUUUAAUCUCUCCCGCAGAGCAGAGGGGGAGCGAGGGAUGGAGGGGAGAGGGCUCUCCACACACGGCUGGGACAACAUGUCUUCACAGGGGUGUCGUCUGCUUUCCCUGUGUGCCUCCCUCCGGUCCUCUGCCAGCACCUCUUCGGGUUAUUUCUUUCCGCGCUCUUUUUCUGUAGAGCAAAUUUCUGUUCUUUGCUUUUUUCGACCGCAAAAGUUUCUUCUAUUAUAAGGUUUGAUCUUUGGAAAUAGAAGAAUGCAUCAGAUAUACGUAAUGCCCAGGGCGGCAAGUAAGAAUAAUGUAAUGGAUCAAUUCGACAAUUAUUCAAAUGUAUUGCUCAUGUGAUAAAAGCCAAUUCCAAAAUCCAGAUCUAUCUAAUGUAUGAUGAUAUGAAACAUAACAACAGCUAAUCCCUCAGAAAAUUGCGCUGCUGGAACCAACAGACGUGAACUGCGACUAACAAUUAUUUCCAUUACCUGUGCAUUCGUCUAUUGAUUUGUGUUUUUCUAUGGAUUUGUUUGUUCUCUGAAAACUAAAUGCGCCUCACAAUGUCGCAGAGCUCUAGGCGACGUGUUUGUCGAAUCGACAUUUAAAAAGACAAAUGUGUUUUUACAAUUAUGUAAAACAGAGAAAAGCAGCAAAUCUGCGCAUUGGAAAUGCCGAAAUUAAUAAUGGCGUUUCAUAAUUGAUUCAAAAAGUCAAAGUUGUCUGGUGUUUUAUUUUUUUAGUAACUCACCCACUUUUUUAUUCCAAGUUUUCUAACAGGCAAAUUACCACUCGUUGAAUUACUUCCACCUCGGGGCAUGUUGUGUUUUGCAAUUUAAAAAAAAUAUUUAAACGUUAAAAUCACUAAGGGAUGUGAAUAACAUUGGUUAUCUUGUCACGGCACCUGUCAAGUGUCGUGAUGUAUUAGGUAUUAAGUGAGCAGUCACUUCUUGAAGAUGAUGUUCUGAGUGACCUUGUGAUGGCUGUACGACGGGGACAGUGUCUUGUGUCUAGGAAGGACAGCCGGCGAACGGGAGACGGGAGUCACGGGCGCCCAAGGCUCGUCGGUGCGCGUGGCGAAUCGGAGAGGGCGGUGGUCCUGACUAAGAGCCCGAGGUGUCGGCUCGGCCUCCGGCACCUUUAGCCGAUUGAGCAUCUGUGGGAUGUGUGCUGGAAAAAACAAAUCUGACCCAUGGAGGGGCCGCGCUUCCCGACUCGCAGGACGUAAAGGGAGCUGAUGCACGACGUACCACAGGACACCCAGAGGGCCUUGAGGAGGCAGACGAGUGUCGGAGGUUGAUUUCGAUGAUUUCAGAUAAAGGACGACUCAGUUUACGGCACAAAGGAAGCCCGUCACCCGUUGCGUAACGCAACUUCUCCUCCGUCUUUCUCUCAAAUUGGUGUCGACAACUUCCUCAGGAGCUCCGAGGAAAAAGAACCACUUCUGUCUAACGUUCAGCCUCCCGACGAGCCCCGACUUGUAAACUAAGCUGUUCUGAAGGAGGUGAUGUUUGAUUCGGCGUGGGAGGUUUGGAGAGCUGCGGCCAAGAGGACAGAAAAGGCAAAGGGCAGAUCACUGUACAGGGAGGAUUCUGGGAGUCGGCUGGAAAAGUGCGCGACGAUUCGAAAACGUGACAAUCCAACAGCGACAAAGACAAAAACAAGGAAGAAAAAAAACAACGGAAAGCACAGAGGAGUGGACGGAAGACGGAGGGAACAAAAGAUGGAGAGCAGGCGGCGACAAGCAAGCGGAUGAAUGAACAAUCAAACACGUGCUUUUUAAAAAACCCUUUUUCGCUUUACAGUCGCUUCCCGCAGCGUUUGUUUCACCGUCGGCGGCCCCAAAGGGGAGAAAAAAGAGAAGAGAAGAGACGAAGCGGGCUGAUAUUUUCUGAAAGUAAAGUAAAUACCAUCGCCCGCAACCCACUGUAGCUCCGUUCAUCGAAUACUGUGUAUAGGACGACACAGGAUUUCCAGCCCCGUCCCAGCUCUUCUAAGCGUACUGGACCCCUCGACGUGGGACAGCACAGUCUUCUCACGCUGCUGCUGCUCUGAAACCCACAGGUCACACUCCGGCCGUGUUCAAUCUUUUUAGAAAUGUUCCUUUCUCAUCCGCGUGACGCGGGAUGGGUUCUCCGGGGGCGCCGCGUGAUUUCGUCGUCGUCGUAGUGAAUACGUCAUUUCAGCCCCAAGGCCUGUAAAAUAGUCCCAGCGGCUCUUGACAACGCAUCGUUCUUCCAGAAAACAAUGUUGUGUGUGUAAAGGGGACAUUCCACCCCCCCCCCCGCACAGAGCCGGGUCAGCCCCGCACAGAGCCGCCGUCCCGCCGGAGACGGUGCUUCGUUUGAUUCUUACGCGCCGAUCCGGACGACCGGCGAGACGGAGCUGACACAGUCACCGAAGGUCAAAGUGCAGAUAAGAGGUCACAUUAAAAAACAAGUCACAUGACAUCGCUCCUCUGCGGUCCCCCGAUCACACCAGGAAUACCGCUUGGUGCCCCGGGUGGGGCGGGGUCGGACGGGGGCCGGGUUCAUUACAAAAAAAGGAAGGAAGGGAUCAAGGAAGGCUUGAGGAAGUGUGGGAAGGAGGAGUAAAUAGAGGAGGGCCGUGAGCCGAAAGAUCUGCUCAUCUUUCCGUCAGUCUGGAAGAGCGCUCUCCCUUUCCCCCCUCUUCUCCACCCCGUCAUCCUCGCUGCAGCAGCAGGGACUCCAGACUCGCCGCGCCCGCCGGCUGUCAGACCUGCACGCCGCGGCCGUGCAUUUGGAUGACCUGCGCUCGCAGCGUCUGGAUGGCGGCCAGUAUCAGCUUCUGGUGCUCGAGGGAAGUGAUGCCAAGGCUCAGGACGUCCCUGUGGACAGAUUCACCAAGAUUAGACGUGAAAUUUAUUGGACUCUUUUUCAUUGGCCGGAGUCGGAGACUUCUAAUAAUUGUAUGCUCGGAUUUCCAGGGUUCCACUUAUGAACCGUUUAUCACUGGGGGGGGAAACAAAAACUAAACUUGGCUCAUCUGCUUCAUCGCCGGUGACGCAGGAUUUAUGAUUCACUUCGGCGGACGAGCCAACGACUCUCGACGGCCCCGCCCACCGAAGCUGAUUGAGAAAACAGAUUAACAGAGCCUCUAGAGGAAUUACUUUGGCAACUCGGGUUGAACUGUGCCAUUAUUUGGAGGAGUGACUCAACGCCAGGCGGAAAAGCAGUAUUUCAAAGUCCUCUCAACAUAAAGGGUUUCAAGUUUGGUCAGCGGUGGUGCAGUGGUUGGCGCUGAUCGGACCGCCCAGGGGCCUUUCUGUGUGGAGUUUGAAUUGGAAUGCAAAACAGGAAAUUAAAAUGGCCGCUGAGACA